CUACGUGCCAGCAGCCGCGGUAAUACGGAAGGUCCGGGCGUUAUCCGGAUUUAUUGGGUUUAAAGGGAGUGUAGGCGGUCUGUUAAGCGUGUUGUGAAAUUUAGGUGCUCAACAUUUAACUUGCAGCGCGAACUGUCAGACUUGAGUACACGCAGCGCAGGCGGAAUUCAUGGUGUAGCGGUGAAAUGCUUAGAUAUCAUGAGGAACUCCGAUCGCGAAGGCAGCCUGCGGGAGUGUUACUGACGCUUAAGCUCGAAGGUGCGGGUAUCGAACAGGAUUAGAUACCCUGGUAGUCCGCACAGUAAACGAUGGAUGCCCGCCGUUGGCGCGCUGCGCCUGCGGCCAAGCGAAAGCAUUAAGCAUCCCACCUGGGGAGUACGCCGGCAACGGUGAAACUCAAAGGAAUUGACGGGGGCCCGCACAAGCGGAGGAACAUGUGGUUUAAUUCGAUGAUACGCGAGGAACCUUACCCGGGCUUGAAUUGCAGUCGCUGCCCACAGAGA
Molecule: ribosomal RNA, 503 nt
Filed under: uncultured bacterium
Lineage: Bacteria
Description: bacterial SSU rRNA
Rfam family: Bacterial small subunit ribosomal RNA
Source: RNAcentral